RNAcentral lists this unclassified non-coding RNA (301 nucleotides) under Rhizophagus sp. (in: glomeromycetes). RNAcentral's name for it is "partial contains 5.8S ribosomal RNA and internal transcribed spacer 2". The stretch from base 1 to 65 matches the Rfam family "5.8S ribosomal RNA", at positions 84 to 154 of the family's 154-position model. The record is from RNAcentral. Lineage: Eukaryota; Fungi; Glomeromycota; Glomeromycetes; Glomerales; Glomeraceae.
GUGAAUCAUCAAAUUUUUGAACGCAAAUUGCACUCUCUUCGGAGAGUAUGCCUGUUUGAGGGGAAGUAUUAAUAAAAAUAGGUGCGUUGCUUCUUUGUGACGCUGCGGAGUUUGGGUCAGCGUAAUAUCCUUUAGGUUGGAAGAGGUGGACAAUUGAAUUUUUUUGCGCAUUUUAGAUGUACAUAAAUUCUUUUUUUUAUUCGUCUGUCUUAAUGCUCAAAAUGCUAUUAGAUGCGACAAUAUCGUGUGGUUUCGUGUCUAUAAAUUUUUCAUGAUUUGAGAGUAAAUCAGGUAGGAUGAA